Molecule: ribosomal RNA, 523 nt
Filed under: uncultured bacterium
Lineage: Bacteria
Description: bacterial SSU rRNA
Rfam family: Bacterial small subunit ribosomal RNA
Source: RNAcentral
AUGCAAGUCGAGGGGUAACGGAAGUAGCUUGCUACUAGACGACGACCGGCGCACGGGUGAGUAACGCGUAUGUAAUCUGCCUUGUACAGAGGGAUAGCCCAGAGAAAUUUGGAUUAAUACCUCAUAGUAUUACUGGAUCGCAUGAUUUGGUAAUUAAAGCUCCGGCGGUACAAGAUGAACAUGCGUGACAUUAGCUAGUUGGUAAGGUAACGGCUUACCAAGGCUACGAUGUCUAGGGGUUCUGAGAGGAUGAUCCCCCACACUGGUACUGAGACACGGACCAGACUCCUACGGGAGGCAGCAGUGAGGAAUAUUGGUCAAUGGACGCAAGUCUGAACCAGCCAUCCCGCGUGAAGGAUGACUGCCCUAUGGGUUGUAAACUUCUUUUAUAUGCAAAUAAACCUACUUUCGUGAAAGUAGCUGAAGGUAGCAUAUGAAUAAACACCGGCUAACUCCGUGCCAGCAGCCGCGGUAAUACGGAGGGUGUAAGCGUUAUCCGGAUUUAUUGCGUUUAAAGGGUACG